CCCAGCUUGUAAGUGCUUGGUCGGGUGGGCCUCUCUGUCCCCACGGGUUUUCCCCUGAUACUUCAAUGAGAGUCUGUGUCCCGGUGUGGUCCCGCCGUCGCUGUUGCUGUCUGGCAGGCAUGGGCUGGAUCAGAGCGGUGCUUGUUUCGUGGCUCGUGGGGCGCCCCCUCAGGUGCCGUCUGCUCGGUCGCAAUCUCCCUUUCCCGUGUGGUCUAUUACAGGGGGAUCUCACUGCGGCAACUCGCACCUUCAGCCGGUGUCUGGGAGCUCC
This is a non-coding RNA of Pelobates cultripes (western spadefoot toad), 271 nucleotides long. NCBI's taxonomy places the organism in Eukaryota, Metazoa, Chordata, Amphibia, Anura, Pelobatidae. The record is from the annotation of a GenBank genome assembly.